CUUAUUUGACAAAUAAGUAAUAAAAUAAAGAAAAGAAAAUAUCAUCUUUUCUUCAUCUUCUCUCCACCGAAAAUGGCAGCAAAGAAAGGGUUUAGAAGCUGGAAACUUUCAGCAAAGAAACUCCCUUUAUAAUGAUGAAAAUCGAGAUUUGGACCUAGAACGGAAAGAAAUCGAUUAAGGGAUAAUUACGUCUUUUUUUUCACCUUUGUGGUAUCGAGAGUUUCCAGGUUAGCUCGGGUUGGAGGCCGUCAGAGAUAUUAUCACACUGUCAAGCUAACGCUAUUGGUGUAGUGAUUUCAAGUACUUUGAGCCUAUGGCAUGUAUAGGAGUUUAAAUAUUAGAGUAUGUGAUAUGGCUUUAACCAUAUGUGUUGGCCUAUUUUGAUUAUGAGAUUGUAAAUCUAAGCUACCCAGCUCCUUAUUUAUGUGGGAGCCAUAAAUGUUUUAAUCCUAUUUGCUGUGAUGUUCAUGAAUAGUUCAGAAUAUUAUAAAGAUUUUAAUCUGUGGACCA
Gossypium arboreum is the source of this 510-nucleotide long non-coding RNA. RefSeq lists it as uncharacterized. The record is from RefSeq and is a predicted model, not a curated record. The transcript is spliced from 3 exons. NCBI's taxonomy places the organism in Eukaryota, Viridiplantae, Streptophyta, Magnoliopsida, Malvales, Malvaceae.